GAAGGUUUGAAUAAAGCCAGAAGGAAGUGAAAGGAAGCCCUGUGGCUAGCUGAGGGGUGGGCACUCCAAGACUCCAAGUAGUUAAUGUUAUACACCUAAGUUCCGCUUGAAAAGAGAGAAACGGUCUGGUGUUUCCUGCUGUUGGAGGUCUGGGACAUGAGGACAAACCAGCACAAAUUUCAUGGAAAUAGGAAGGUGCACAGGAGAUGACGGUGUUCUGGAAACUCAGUGGAGAAAAGACUUAAGGAGGAUAAAGUGACCCAGACUGUCAAAUGCUGCCGCCAGUUGAGUGAGCAGAGAACAGAGGACGGAGGAGCAGCACGGGGGGGACAGCUACAGCAGAAAACAAGGCCUAUACAGGGCAUAAGGACCAUUAGAAAAAUUUACUCCUUCAGAGGAGCGUUGUCUCAGGAUGCGAAAGAGCUGCUGAGGGAGGGAGGCUCCCUGAACACUUACCAAACAGAAGCAAGAUGGCAGACCGACUGCCACCACUGAGUGCCACCCAACAUCCAAGCAAGACCCGAUCCUAAUCUUAGACAAGACUUUCCAGAGAACCAGUGAAGAGGAGACCCCGUCCAUGUCAUUUUAUGAGGCCGUCAUAACCUCGAUGCCAAAACCUGACAAGGACACAAGGAAGGGAAAAUUAUAGGCC
This 652-nucleotide long non-coding RNA is filed under the name Sus scrofa (pig). Its description in RNAcentral is "lncRNA (ENSSSCG00040073840.1)". Lineage: Eukaryota; Metazoa; Chordata; Mammalia; Artiodactyla; Suidae. The record is from RNAcentral.